GGCACCGUCGUGACUUCCCUCUAUUUUUGCCUCGAUGAGGCCCUUCCCGGUCUCUGUUUGAUGCAACUUUUAUACCACUAUGAUCACCGUUCUUUUCUCUACAGAUUGACCAAAGCAAUACAUCAAAAUGCGACUCACGCUAGAGAAGCUGCCGCACCCGAGAUCACCGUCGCCUGUAAGUCUGGGUUUUUUGUGAUUUUUUGGCCCACCGAGGGCCCUAGGGCUUUUUAAUCGCAGGGACCAAUGCAAGUUUGGCCGAAAAUAGCCAACCCGAGGCGGAUCACUGACGUAGGCGGCGGCGUUGUCACCAGAGCACGGCAGAGUCGCCGUGCUAGAAUUUCGAUAUUGGUCGAAAGGUGCCCUAGGUUUGAUUUGGGAUUUUUUGGGACACGUGCAGGUACUGGUAGUGCGUUUCAGUUUCCCAGAAAAAAUUCAGAAAAUUUAGGGACAGCCCGUAGGCACACCGUAGAGCCGAUUUCAGACCCUGAGACAAGGAUCUCUCACCCUACCUCCUAUCAGAGCAUU
This 525-nucleotide long non-coding RNA is filed under the name Carica papaya (papaya). Its description in RNAcentral is "long non-coding RNA (CPAP_LNC015083)". Lineage: Eukaryota; Viridiplantae; Streptophyta; Magnoliopsida; Brassicales; Caricaceae. The record is from RNAcentral.